Non-coding RNA from Nicotiana tabacum (common tobacco), 3212 nucleotides. NCBI's taxonomy places the organism in Eukaryota, Viridiplantae, Streptophyta, Magnoliopsida, Solanales, Solanaceae. The record is from RefSeq and is a predicted model, not a curated record.
UUCGUCUUGCUACCUGAAUUAAAUUUUUUGGUAGACAGAAUUCGAGAGCAAGGCUAGCUCAUGAUACGUGCAGAAGAAGUAACAUCCAAUUCACUUUUUCUAGAGAUGGAUGAGUCAUAUGGUACCAUCAGCCAAUACACUUCCUUUCCAUCCAAAGCAAAUAUAAUUCAUAGGAGGAAUGCAAGGUACUUUGGAACUGUAUGACAGUGGACGCCUAUCGGAAGAACAGGCUUUUGGUAGGACUUAAAGUGUAAAUUAUGAUUACUGGAGAGGUUUCACAUUAGGAGAUCUCGGGUUUUUCUUGCAAUUGGAUUUUGACGGGUAUGUUUUAGCCGAGCCAGGAACAAUAGAGACUGGCUCAUGGACGUUUGUGGUGCAAGGUAUCUUCAAGACAAGAAGUACAUGCAAGCCACUACAGCUGCUGGCUCAGGUAUCUCUUUGAAUGGAUAUCCACAUUCUACUAAAAGCAAGCUCCUCUGUUUCUUCUUUCAUCACAGCAGAAGUGUGUUGGUUGAUGUUGUAUGAGAGGAAGUUCCUCUGUGUUGUCUAAUGGCAUCAUGUGGCCCGUCUUGUCCAUUUUUAAAAAAUUGUAAAUUGGAUGUCAUUUCUUACGCAGGUGUGAUAAGGUUGCCUUGCUCUUGCAUUCUCUUAGAUAAUUUGAUUCAUCUUGCUGCCUGAAUUAAAUUUAUGUAGACAGAAUUCGAGAGUAAGGCUAGCUCAUGAUACGUGCAGAAGAAGUAACAUCCAAUUCACUUUUUCUAGAGAUGGAUGAGUCAUAUGGUACCAUCAGCCAAUACACUUCCUUUCCAUCCAAAGCAAAUAUUAUUCAUAGGAGGCAUGCAAGGUACUUUGGAACUGUAUGACAGUGGACGCCUGUCGGAAGAACAGGCUUUUGGUAUGACUUAAAGUGAAAAUUAUGAUUACCGGAGAGGUUUCAAAUUUGGAGAUCUCGGGUUUUUCUUGCAAUUGGAUUUUGGCGGGUAUGUUUUAGCCGAGCGGGAACAAUAGAGACUGGCUCAUGGAUGUUUGUGGUGCAAGGUAUCUUCAAGACAAGAAGUAUAGGCAAGCCACUACAGCUGCUGGCUCAGGUAUCUUCAAGACCAGAAGUACAGGCAAGCCACUACAGCUGCUGGCUCAGGUAUCUUCAAGACCAGAAGUACAGGCAAGCCACUACAGCUGCUGGCUCAGGCAUCUCUUUGAUUGGUUAUCCACAUUCUACUAAAAGCAAGCUCCUCUGUUUCUUCUUUCAUCACAACAGAAGUGUGUUGGUUGAUGUUGCAUGAGGGGAAGUUCCUCUAUGUUGUCUAAUGGCAUAAUGUGACUCGUCUUGUCCAUUUAAAAAAAAAUGUAAAUUGGAUGUCACUUCUUUCGCAGGUGUGAUAAGGUUGCCUUGCUCUUGUAUUCUCUUAGAUAAUUUGAUUCAGCUUGCUGCUAGAAUUAAAUUUUUUGGUUGAGAGAAUUCGAGAGUAAGGCUACCUCAUGAUACGUGCAGAAGAAGUAACAUCCAAUUCACUUUUUCUAGGGAUGGAUGAGUCAUAUGGUACCGUCAACCAAUACACUUCCUUUCCCUCCAAAGCAUAUAUAAUUCAUACGAGAAAUGUGUUUAGGGCUUCAAAAAUAAUGCAAAGUACUUUGGAACUGUAUGACAGUGGAGGCCUGUCGGAAGAAGAGGCUUUUGGUAGGAUUUAAAGUGAAAAUUAUGAUUACCGGAGAGGUUUCAAAUUUGGAGAUCUCGAGUUUUUCUUGCAAUUGGAUUUUGACGGGUAUGUUGUAGCCGAGCCAGGAACAAUAGAGACUAGCUCAUGGACGUUUGUGCUGCUAGGUAUAUUAAAAACAAGAAGUACAUGCAAGCCACUACAGUUGCUGGCUUAGGCAUCUCUUUGAAUGGUUAUCCACAUUCUACUAAAAGCGAGCUCCUCUGUUUCUUCUUCCAUCGCAACAGAAGUGUGUUGGUUGAUGUUGUAUGAGAGGAAGUUCCUCUGUGUUGUCUAAUGGCAUCAUGUGACUCGUCUUGUCCAUUUUAAAAAAAUUGCAAAUUGGAUGUCAUUUCUUACGCAGGUGUGAUAAGGUUGCCUUGCUCUUGCAUUCUCUUAGAUAAUUUGAUUCAGCUUGCUGCCUGAAUUAAAUUUUUUGGUAGAGAGAAUUCGAGAGUAAGGCUACCUUAUGAUACGUGCAGAAGAAGUAACAUCCAAUUCACUUUUUCUAGAGAUGGAUGAGUCAUAUGGUUUCAUCAGCCAAUACACUUCCUUUCCAUCCAAAGAAAAUAUAAUUCAUAGGAGGAAUGCAAGGUACUUUGGAACUGUAUGACAGUGGACGCCUGUCGGAAGAACAGGGUUUUGGUAUGACUUAAAGUGAAAAUUAUGAUUACCGGAGAGGUUUCAAAUUUGGAGAUCUCGGGUUUUUCUUGCAAUUGGAUUUUGACGGGUAUGUUGUAGCCGAGCCAGGAACAAUAGAGACUAGCUCAUGCACGUUUGUGUUGCUAGGUAUAUUCAAGACAAGAAGUACAUGCAAAGCCACUACAACUGCUGGCUCAGGCAUCUCUUUGAAUGGUUAUCCACAUUCUACUAAAAGCGAGCUCCUCUGUUUCUUCUUUCAUCACAGCAGAAGUGUGUUGGUUGAUGUUGCAUGAGAGGAAGUUCCUCUGUGUAUUCUAAUGGCAUCAUGUGACUCGUCUUGUCUAUUUUAAAAAAAUUGUAAAUUGGAUGUCACUUCUUACGUAGGUGUGAUAAGGUUGCCUUGCUCUUGCAUUCUCUUAGAUAAUUUGAUUCAGCUUGCUACUUGAAUUAAAUUUUUGGUAGAGAGAAUUCGAGAGUAAGGCUACCUCAUGAUACGUGCAGAAGAAGUAACAUCCAAUUCACUUUUUCUAGGGAUGGAUGAGUCAUAUGGUACCGUCAGCCAAUACACUUCCUUUCUAUCCAAAGCAUAUACAAUUCAUAGGAGAAAUGAGUUUAGGGCUUCGAAAAUAAUGCAUAGUACUUUGGAACUGUAUGACAGUGGAGGCCUGUCGGAAGAAGAGGCUUUUGGCAGGACUUAAAGUGAAAAUUAUGAUUACCGGAGAGGUUUCAAAUUUGAGAUCUCGGGUUUUUCUUGCAAUUGGAUUUUGACGGGUAUGUUGUAGCCGAGCAAGGAACAAUAGAGUCCAGCUCAUGGACGUUUGUGCUGCUAGGUAUCUUCAAGACAAGAAGUAUAGGCAAGCCACUACAGCUGCUGGC